Molecule: unclassified non-coding RNA, 259 nt
Filed under: Ascomycota sp.
Lineage: Eukaryota; Fungi; Ascomycota
Description: partial contains small subunit ribosomal RNA, internal transcribed spacer 1, and 5.8S ribosomal RNA
Rfam family: Eukaryotic small subunit ribosomal RNA (bases 1-47)
Source: RNAcentral
AAAGUCGUAACAAGGUUUCCGUAGGUGAACCUGCGGAAGGAUCAUUAUCGUGGGGCUUCGGCCCCGUCGAGAUAGCACCCUUGCCUUUAUGAGUACCUUGGUUCCCUCCCCCGUACCUUCGGGGAGCGGGAGGGACCUCGUCCGUUUCCCUGUGGCGGCGAAAGCCCCUGGGGACCGCAAAACACGCUGUAACCACCUGCAACCGUCUGAUAAACAAACAAAAAAAUCAAAACUUUCAACAACGGAUCUCUUGGUUCUG